Molecule: ribosomal RNA, 1524 nt
Filed under: Klebsiella pneumoniae
Lineage: Bacteria; Pseudomonadati; Pseudomonadota; Gammaproteobacteria; Enterobacterales; Enterobacteriaceae
Description: bacterial SSU rRNA
Rfam family: Bacterial small subunit ribosomal RNA
Source: RNAcentral
AAAUUGAAGAGUUUGAUCAUGGCUCAGAUUGAACGCUGGCGGCAGGCCUAACACAUGCAAGUCGAGCGGUAGCACAGAGAGCUUGCUCUCGGGUGACGAGCGGCGGACGGGUGAGUAAUGUCUGGGAAACUGCCUGAUGGAGGGGGAUAACUACUGGAAACGGUAGCUAAUACCGCAUAAUGUCGCAAGACCAAAGUGGGGGACCUUCGGGCCUCAUGCCAUCAGAUGUGCCCAGAUGGGAUUAGCUAGUAGGUGGGGUAACGGCUCACCUAGGCGACGAUCCCUAGCUGGUCUGAGAGGAUGACCAGCCACACUGGAACUGAGACACGGUCCAGACUCCUACGGGAGGCAGCAGUGGGGAAUAUUGCACAAUGGGCGCAAGCCUGAUGCAGCCAUGCCGCGUGUGUGAAGAAGGCCUUCGGGUUGUAAAGCACUUUCAGCGGGGAGGAAGGCGUUAAGGUUAAUAACCUUGGCGAUUGACGUUACCCGCAGAAGAAGCACCGGCUAACUCCGUGCCAGCAGCCGCGGUAAUACGGAGGGUGCAAGCGUUAAUCGGAAUUACUGGGCGUAAAGCGCACGCAGGCGGUCUGUCAAGUCGGAUGUGAAAUCCCCGGGCUCAACCUGGGAACUGCAUUCGAAACUGGCAGGCUAGAGUCUUGUAGAGGGGGGUAGAAUUCCAGGUGUAGCGGUGAAAUGCGUAGAGAUCUGGAGGAAUACCGGUGGCGAAGGCGGCCCCCUGGACAAAGACUGACGCUCAGGUGCGAAAGCGUGGGGAGCAAACAGGAUUAGAUACCCUGGUAGUCCACGCCGUAAACGAUGUCGAUUUGGAGGUUGUGCCCUUGAGGCGUGGCUUCCGGAGCUAACGCGUUAAAUCGACCGCCUGGGGAGUACGGCCGCAAGGUUAAAACUCAAAUGAAUUGACGGGGGCCCGCACAAGCGGUGGAGCAUGUGGUUUAAUUCGAUGCAACGCGAAGAACCUUACCUGGUCUUGACAUCCACAGAACUUUCCAGAGAUGGAUUGGUGCCUUCGGGAACUGUGAGACAGGUGCUGCAUGGCUGUCGUCAGCUCGUGUUGUGAAAUGUUGGGUUAAGUCCCGCAACGAGCGCAACCCUUAUCCUUUGUUGCCAGCGGUUAGGCCGGGAACUCAAAGGAGACUGCCAGUGAUAAACUGGAGGAAGGUGGGGAUGACGUCAAGUCAUCAUGGCCCUUACGACCAGGGCUACACACGUGCUACAAUGGCAUAUACAAAGAGAAGCGACCUCGCGAGAGCAAGCGGACCUCAUAAAGUAUGUCGUAGUCCGGAUUGGAGUCUGCAACUCGACUCCAUGAAGUCGGAAUCGCUAGUAAUCGUAGAUCAGAAUGCUACGGUGAAUACGUUCCCGGGCCUUGUACACACCGCCCGUCACACCAUGGGAGUGGGUUGCAAAAGAAGUAGGUAGCUUAACCUUCGGGAGGGCGCUUACCACUUUGUGAUUCAUGACUGGGGUGAAGUCGUAACAAGGUAACCGUAGGGGAACCUGCGG